RNAcentral lists this non-coding RNA (199 nucleotides) under Peptoniphilus grossensis. RNAcentral's name for it is "T-box sequence". It matches the Rfam family "T-box leader". From Rfam's summary of the family: Uncharged tRNA acts as the effector for transcription antitermination of genes in the T-box leader family. Lineage: Bacteria; Bacillati; Bacillota; Tissierellia; Tissierellales; Peptoniphilaceae. The record is from RNAcentral.
GAGAAAUCAAUGAAGUGGACAAAAAGUAUUCCUAUAACUUUUUUAGAGAGCAAGGUCAGGUGAAAGCUUGUAAAGGGAAAGAAUAUAAUAGAACCACAGAGAUUCUGUAAAGAAAUUAGUAUUUACAGAGGUUAACUGCCUUAAAGUUUUGAGAUAUCUAAAAGAUAAUUAGAGUGGUACCGCGGACUUCGCCUCUUUC